GUGCUCAUUUCAACAGCACAAAUGCUAAAAUUGGAAAAAUACAGAGAUUAGCAUGGCCGCCAAACAAAGAUAACACGCAAAUUCAUGAAACAUUACAUAGUUUU
Rhinolophus ferrumequinum (greater horseshoe bat) is the source of this 104-nucleotide small nuclear RNA. The record is from Ensembl. NCBI's taxonomy places the organism in Eukaryota, Metazoa, Chordata, Mammalia, Chiroptera, Rhinolophidae.